This 208-nucleotide ribosomal RNA is filed under the name uncultured delta proteobacterium. Its description in RNAcentral is "partial 16S ribosomal RNA". It matches the Rfam family "Bacterial small subunit ribosomal RNA", at positions 568 to 775 of the family's 1533-position model. The record is from RNAcentral. Lineage: Bacteria; Deltaproteobacteria.
CGUGUAGGCGGCCUUGCAAGUUGGGUGUGAAAGCCCUCGGCUUAACCGAGGAAGUGCGCCCAAAACUACGAGGCUUGAGUGCCGGAGAGGGUGGCGGAAUUCCCGGUGUAGAGGUGAAAUUCGUAGAUAUCGGGAGGAACACCAGCGGCGAAGGCGGCCACCUGGACGGUAACUGACGCUGAGACGCGAAAGCGUGGGGAGCAAACAG